Etheostoma cragini (Arkansas darter) is the source of this 1348-nucleotide long non-coding RNA. RefSeq lists it as uncharacterized. NCBI's taxonomy places the organism in Eukaryota, Metazoa, Chordata, Actinopteri, Perciformes, Percidae. The record is from RefSeq and is a predicted model, not a curated record. The transcript is spliced from 2 exons.
UUAUAUGGGUUAGGGUUGGGCAUAACGCCUUAAGAAUUGGACCGUGAGAUUGGCAGUUGAAUCCAGCUCAUCAGCUGUUGGGAGUGUAAAUGCACCAUUACUGCUCAAAGAGUCUUAAGAUUCCUGAUCCAGUCCCUCGGUUUUACACAUAAAGGAAGUACUGUUAAUGCAAAGACAUGUUUUUUGUAGAUAAAAUAGAGCAGAAUCUCUUAUAAAAAUAGAAAGAAAAGAUGCAUUAAAAAAGUAACAUGCAGCGUUUGUGACGAUCAGGUCUUCUCGAGCAGAUCUUUUAAAUAAUAAAUACAAAGGAAAUGGGUUAAUAUCAACAGGUUAUGGCUAUGUGAUCCUUGCAUCAAAUGUGAAUCAUAAAUGUUAAUCAAUAUUGCAUUUUGGCUAAACUUAAUUGCAUGUGAUGUGAGAGAUUUUCUAGUCUGCUGUAUGUGAUCAAUGAACUUAAACUAUCGUGUUUAUGCUGUGAUGGUUUUGAACUUUAAUUUUUAUUUGUUAUUUUUUAUGUAUGGUUUUUGAGGGAAAAUCUUCUGUGUCUGUUUAUUUACAUUGCAGCCUUAGUCUAAAUGUGACUACUGUAGGUACUUGAGGGUAUGUAUAUUUUGUGUACAUGGAUUCAAUACACCAGCAUAGAUAAAACUUGUGGUGCUCUUUGACAAGCAUUAAAAAUGAAUAGAUCAGGCUUUUAAAUUUAAAUCUGAAAGCUUUUAAAAGCCUGUGAGUCCAUUUGUACACCCGGACAAUUUGUACUUUGAACUUAGAUCAAAGGUGAAUGUUUUCUACAGGAAAAUUGCAGAAUGAUGUAUAAUUCAUAAUCAAAUGUCCACAUGCUAAUGUUAAAAGGCACUUCUAUACCACUUUUUCACACAUUUUUAUCUGCAUGUUGCAAACUACUGAGCCUUCUCCUGUUCUGAGCACUUAGAAGCAGGAGUUACAAUCUUUCAUGAAGUCUUUAUAAUGUAGCUUUGUUCAAACACAUACAAAUGGAUCCUUGCUUUGAUUUGACAAAUACAAAUGGUUGCUUAUUCUUAAAUAUGUGACCAAGAGAUUACAGCUUGUGAAAGGACCCUUGCAUAUCAAACCUAAUAAUUGCAGUCAUCCAGACUCCAGGGCCAAUAGGAGACAAUACAUGAAUAAAAGUAAGGAUGCACUUCAAUGUUUUUGAACAAUGCUGUUGCCUUUUUCACGUUGUGCUCUUCCUGAUUGGUGCUUUAACGUCCAUCUAAGUAAAUUCCUGAAACACUAUUUUCUGCUCAGGAUGUGUUGAUAAUUAUACAGUGUAGUGCAAUGUGAGUGUAAGUCAUAAAAGAUUAAACUACAAACGCUGUGAUAAUGAUGA